UGGGGAAUUUUGGACAAUGGGCGCAAGCCUGAUCCAGCAAUGCCGCGUGCAGGAUGAAGGCCUUCGGGUUGUAAACUGCUUUUGUACGGAACGAAAAGGCUCUGGCUAAUACCUGGGGCACAUGACGGUACCGUAAGAAUAAGCACCGGCUAACUACGUGCCAGCAGCCGCGGUAAUACGUAGGGUGCGAGCGUUAAUCGGAAUUACUGGGCGUAAAGCGUGCGCAGGCGGUUUUGUAAGACAGAGGUGAAAUCCCCGGGCUCAACCUGGGAACUGCCUUUGUGACUGCAAGGCUGGAGUGCGGCAGAGGGGGAUGGAAUUCCGCGUGUAGCAGUGAAAUGCGUAGAUAUGCGGAGGAACACCGAUGGCGAAGGCAAUCCCCUGGGCCUGCACUGACGCUCAUGCACGAAAGCGUGGGGAGCAAGCAGGAUUAGAUACCCCUGGUAGUCCACGCCCUAAAGCGAUGUCAACUGGUUGUUGGGUCUUAAUUGACUCAGUAACGAAGCUAACGCGUGAAGUUGGACCGCCUGGGGAGUACGGCCGCAAGGUUGAAACUCAAAUGAAUUGACGGGGUCAUAGCUGUUCCU
RNAcentral lists this ribosomal RNA (587 nucleotides) under uncultured bacterium. Its description in RNAcentral is "partial 16S ribosomal RNA". It matches the Rfam family "Bacterial small subunit ribosomal RNA", at positions 355 to 937 of the family's 1533-position model. The record is from RNAcentral.